RNAcentral lists this small RNA (653 nucleotides) under Histoplasma capsulatum. RNAcentral's name for it is "hypothetical RNA". The record is from RNAcentral. Lineage: Eukaryota; Fungi; Ascomycota; Eurotiomycetes; Onygenales; Ajellomycetaceae. RNAcentral also lists the same sequence under 1 other name.
AUAGAGGGGGACUUGGGCGGCCUUGGCACCAGCGGUGGCAGUGGUAAGGAGGACGAAAAGGGGGAAUCCGGGACGACGUCCGGUGCUACUGAUGCUGCUGGUGCUGCUCGUAGUGCGAGUAACGCGGAAGAUGGGUUCCAAGAAACGAUCCGCAAGACUAUGGAGCGGAUACAAGCGUCUGGGGACAAAGCUACCGCUGCGGCGACGGGGGAUGGGGGCGAAGACGACGAUGAUGUACUCAUGCGGUUGCUGAAGGCGGUGGGCUCUAGCGCUGCCGGUCAAGCGGGCGCUGGUGAGGCCGACGACGAGAGCCUCGAUAAGCUCUUCAUGGGAAUUAUGGAACAGUUGUCGAAUAAGGAUAUGCUCUACGAGCCGAUGAAGGAGCUGAAUGAUAAAUUCGGUCCGUGGCUGCGGGAGAACCGAGACAAGGUACCCAAAGAGGAUCUGGAGAGGUAUGAAUUGCAGGCUACCAUUGUGGCGGAGAUUGUGGCCAAGUUUGACGAGGAGGGGUAUUCGGAUGACAAUCCGGCGGAUAGGGCUGCUAUCUGGGAGAAGAUGCAGAAGAUGCAAGCCGCGGGGAGCCCGCCUGAUGCCUUGGUGUCGAAUCCGCUGGCGGAUGAACUUGGGCUGCCAGGCGCUUUCGCUGGCGUGGG